Molecule: ribosomal RNA, 382 nt
Filed under: Acidovorax sp.
Lineage: Bacteria; Pseudomonadati; Pseudomonadota; Betaproteobacteria; Burkholderiales; Comamonadaceae
Description: bacterial SSU rRNA
Rfam family: Bacterial small subunit ribosomal RNA
Source: RNAcentral
CCUUGUCAUUAGUUGCUACAUUUAGUUGGGCACUCUAAUGAGACUGCCGGUGACAAACCGGAGGAAGGUGGGGAUGACGUCAAGUCCUCAUGGCCCUUAUAGGUGGGGCUACACACGUCAUACAAUGGCUGGUACAGAGGGUUGCCAACCCGCGAGGGGGAGCCAAUCCCAUAAAGCCAGUCGUAGUCCGGAUCGCAGUCUGCAACUCGACUGCGUGAAGUCGGAAUCGCUAGUAAUCGCGGAUCAGAAUGUCGCGGUGAAUACGUUCCCGGGUCUUGUACACACCGCCCGUCACACCAUGGGAGCGGGUUCUGCCAGAAGUAGGUAGCCUAACCGUAAGGAGGGCGCUUACCACGGCAGGGUUCGUGACUGGGGUGAAGUC